AGAGUUUGAUCCUGGCUCAGGACGAACGCUGGCGGCGUGCUUAACACAUGCAAGUCAAGGACCGUAGCAAUACGGGACUGGCGCACGGGUGCGGAACACGUAGGCAAUCUGCCCUUCAAGGGAGAACAACCAGCCGAAAGGUUGGCUAAAUCUCCGUAAAAUCAUAGAGUGGCAUCACUUAUUGAUCAAGUUUUUUGAAGGAUGAGCCUGCGUCUGAUUAGCUAGUUGGCGGGGUAACGGCCCACCAAGGCUACGAUCAGUAGCUGGUCUGAGAGGAUGAUCAGCCACAUUGGGACUGAGAUACGGCCCAGACUCCUACGGGAGGCAGCAGUGAGGAAUAUUGCUCAAUGGGGGAAACCCUGAAGCAGCAACGCCGCGUAAAGGAUGAAGGCGCUUUGCGUUGUAAACUUUUGUAGUCGGGGACAAAUUGUGGGUUAUUACCCGCUUGAUGGUACCCGAAAAGUAAGGAUCGGCUAACUACGUGCCAGCAGCCGCGGUAAUACGUAGGAUCCGAGCGUUGUCCGGAUUUACUGGGUGUAAAGGGUGCGCAGGCGGACUGGUAAGUCAGAGGUGAAAUCUCGUCGCUUAACGACGAAACUGCCUUUGAUACUAUCAGUCUUGAAUCCGGUAGAGAUCUGUGGAAUUCCGAGUGUAGCAGUGAAAUGUGUAGAUAUUCGGAAGAACACCAGUGGCGAAGGCAGCAGAUUGGGCCGGUAUUGACGCUCAGGCACGAAAGCAUGGGGAUCAAACAGGAUUAGAUACCCUAGUAGUCC
This 773-nucleotide ribosomal RNA is filed under the name uncultured bacterium. RNAcentral describes it as "bacterial SSU rRNA". It matches the Rfam family "Bacterial small subunit ribosomal RNA", at positions 8 to 796 of the family's 1533-position model. The record is from RNAcentral.